RNAcentral lists this ribosomal RNA (405 nucleotides) under uncultured bacterium. RNAcentral's name for it is "partial 16S ribosomal RNA". It matches the Rfam family "Bacterial small subunit ribosomal RNA", at positions 30 to 526 of the family's 1533-position model. The record is from RNAcentral.
AUUGAACGCUGGCGGCAGGCUUAACACAUGCAAGUCGAACGAGUGGCGGACGGGUGAGUAAUGCUUGGGACUCUGGCUUAUGGAGGGGGAUAACUACUGGAAACUGUAGCUAAUACCGCAUACCAUAGGAUGAGCCCAGAUGGGAUUAGGUAGUUGGUGAGGUAAAGGCUCACCAAGCCGACGAUCUCUAGCUGGUCUGAGAGGAUGACCAGCCACACUGGAACUGAGACACGGCCCAGACUCCUAGGGGAGGCAGCAGUGGGGAAUAUUGCGCAAUGGGGGCAACCUGACGCAGCCAUGCCGCGUGAAUGAAGAAGGCCUUCGGGUUGUAAAGUUCUUUCGGUAGCGAGGCGUUACUCACAGAAGAAGCACCGGCUAACUCCGUGCCAGCAGCCGCGGUAAUAC